UACGUAGGGUGCAAGCGUUGUCCGGAAUUAUUGGGCGUAAAGAGCUCGUAGGCGGUUUGUCGCGUCGGCUGUGAAAACCCGGGGCUCAACCCCGGGCCUGCAGUCGAUACGGGCAAACUAGAGUGUGGUAGGGGAGACUGGAAUUCCUGGUGUAGCGGUGAAAUGCGCAGAUAUCAGGAGGAACACCCGUGGCGAAGGCGGCCCCCUGGGCCGAACCUGACGCUGAGGCGCGAAGGCUAGGGGAGCGAACGGG
RNAcentral lists this ribosomal RNA (253 nucleotides) under uncultured bacterium. RNAcentral's name for it is "partial 16S ribosomal RNA". It matches the Rfam family "Bacterial small subunit ribosomal RNA", at positions 524 to 776 of the family's 1533-position model. The record is from RNAcentral.